Molecule: ribosomal RNA, 244 nt
Filed under: uncultured bacterium
Lineage: Bacteria
Description: partial 16S ribosomal RNA
Rfam family: Bacterial small subunit ribosomal RNA
Source: RNAcentral
CACACUGUAAACAAUGUGCACCAGGUGCUGGGGCGGAUGCCUCAGUGCCGGAGCUAACGCGGUAAGUGCACCGCCUGGGGAGUAUGCUCGCAAGGGUGAAACUCAAAGGAAUUGACGGGGGCCCGCACAAGCGGUGGAGCAUGUGGUUUAAUUCGAUGGUACGCGAGGAACCUUACCUGGGUUUGACAUACAGGGGAAUGUGGCAGCGAUGUCACAGCGCAGCAAUGCGUCCCUGUACAGGUGC